GAACUGUGUCUAUCUUCGGUACGUCAUCCGCCACGGGUAUUAACCACGGCGUUUUCUUUCCGGACAAAAGUGCUUUACAACCCGAAGGCCUUCUUCACACACGCGGCAUUGCUGGAUCAGGGUUGCCCCCAUUGUCCAAAAUUCCCCACUGCUGCCUCCCGUAGGAGUCCCCCCGUGCCCCCGCCCCGCCCGCCGCGCGCGGCGGGGAAGGCGG
Molecule: ribosomal RNA, 214 nt
Filed under: uncultured Burkholderia sp.
Lineage: Bacteria; Pseudomonadati; Pseudomonadota; Betaproteobacteria; Burkholderiales; Burkholderiaceae
Description: partial 16S ribosomal RNA
Source: RNAcentral